Pezoporus occidentalis (night parrot) is the source of this 761-nucleotide long non-coding RNA. RefSeq lists it as uncharacterized. NCBI's taxonomy places the organism in Eukaryota, Metazoa, Chordata, Aves, Psittaciformes, Psittacidae. The record is from RefSeq and is a predicted model, not a curated record. The transcript has 2 exons.
GGGUAAGGGAUGCGCCGCCGGGAUGCACCGCCGCUGCCGCCGGGAGGAGCCUUGGACCGCGCUGCACCGGUGGGCUCAGGAGCCCAGCACCCUGCGGCAGAACGGGAAUAUGUCUCUCCUUGCUCCCCAGCCACCACGUGAGCCCCCCCUGCCUGCACCAAGAGCCUGUCCUCUUCCUGCAUCCCCUUGGAUAUGUUUUAAGCACUGGCAGGACAAAAGCGCUGGGGGGCCAUGCCCCUGCCCAACCUGAUACAGAAAAUCUCCAUGUUGAGCUCUGGAACAAGACAAGCGGACUCCAGAUCUGAGCCCAGUGCUGGUGCCAUAGCCUGGCUCCCAAACCCCCUGGCAGCCGUAGCCUGCACCACGUGCACCCCAGUAAUGCAGCUGGGGGCCACCAAGCUCCAUCAGUUCUGAGUCAGUAAACUGCCAUCAAAUGCAGUCAUCCCGCAGCUCCCUGCUCCAUCCAUCUUCCCUCAAAAAAAAACCCAACUGCCAAAACCCACUGCAAAAUCCACCCGUCUCUGCUCACGCUGAGAGCGCAGGGCUUGCACUGACUUACUGCUGUAGUUUUCCAGAAACUUCACCUCUGGACUUGGUGUUUCCGUGCUGUUUCAGCAGCAGCGUGCCAGCAGGGACAGCAGAGCUCACGGCAGUGCCUGAGCUGCCCACAGGCUGCGUGCAACAACUGGGUAACCUGUGGUGCCCUGUGGGCCAUGCUUCCUUAGCCCCGUUCAGUCUAAAAAGUAGUUUGAUUAUUAAAA